Molecule: ribosomal RNA, 227 nt
Filed under: uncultured bacterium
Lineage: Bacteria
Description: partial 16S ribosomal RNA
Rfam family: Bacterial small subunit ribosomal RNA
Source: RNAcentral
GAUCAUGGCUCAGGAUGAACGCUAGCUACAGGCUUAACACAUGCAAGUCGAGGGGCAGCAUGGUCUUAGCUUGCUAAGGCCGAUGGCGACCGGCGCACGGGUGAGUAACACGUAUCCAACCUGCCGUCUACUCUUGGACAGCCUUCUGAAGGAAGAUUAAUACAAGAUGGCAUCAUGAGUCCGCAUGUUCACAUGAUUAAAGGUUUACCGGUGUAAGAUGGGGAGUG